Molecule: ribosomal RNA, 272 nt
Filed under: uncultured bacterium
Lineage: Bacteria
Description: partial 16S ribosomal RNA
Rfam family: Bacterial small subunit ribosomal RNA
Source: RNAcentral
CCGGACCGGCGCGACGGGUGAGUAACGCGUAUCGACAACUUACCUAUCGAGGAAGGGGGACUAACCCGGACGAAGUCGGACUAAUACCGCAUGAAGCAGGGGCCCCGCAUGGGGAUAUUUGCUAAAGAUUCAUCGCUGAUAGAUAGGCAUGCGUUCCAUUAGGCAGUUGGCGGGGUAACGGCCCACCAAACCGACGAUGGAUAGGGGUUCUGAGAGGAAGGUCCCCCACAUUGGUACUGAGACACGGACCAAACUCCUACGGGAGGCAGCAG